This is a non-coding RNA of Vicia faba (fava bean), 222 nucleotides long. Lineage: Eukaryota; Viridiplantae; Streptophyta; Magnoliopsida; Fabales; Fabaceae. The record is from the annotation of a GenBank genome assembly.
AUGCGAGUGACUAAGCGUCAUUCACGAUCAUGCGGACCAGAAUCAGCCACAAGAUCCAAACAUAUUCCACGUGUCAUCAUCAUAUCAACCCAGUGUUUUACUACCCAGUUGCGUGGAACAGGUCUAAAGGUGUCUUUACCAUUCACCCGCUAUAUCCGUUUUUUUACGACUUUGAGAUUUGAUCUUCGAACAAGAACCUGUGUUAAUAGGCUUCCAAAUUGA